AAGAAGUCCCUUGAAGAGGAUGUUGGUUAUCACACCAAUGGGGACUUCCGCAAGCUUUUGCUACCCCUUGUGACUGCCUACCGAUAUGAGGGUGAUGAGGUGAACAUUACACUUGCAAAAUCAGAAGCUAAGAUUCUCAAUGAGAAGAUUUCUGAUAAGGCUUACAAUGAUGAAGAUCUCAUCAGGAUCUUGGCUACAAGGAGCAAAGCACAGAUCAAUGCGACUCUGAAUCAAUAUAAGAAUGUAUAUGGGAAUGAUAUUGAUCAGGACUAAGAGGCUGACCCUAAAGAUGAGUACCUCGACCUACUGAGGGCCACAGUUCAGUGCUUAGUCCACCCUGAACAUUAUUUUGAGAAGAUACUUCAUCUGGCAAUUAACAAACAGGGAACAGAUGAAGGGGCUCUUACUAGAGUCGUCACCACAUGGGCCGAGGUCGACUUGAAGGUCAUAAAAGAUGAGUACCAGAGGAACGGUGUUCCUCUGGAUCGUGCCGUUGUCAAGGACACCUCUGGGGACUACGAAAAAAUGCUUCUGGCACUGUUAGGACAUGGGGAUGCUUGAGUUGUUCCCUAUUUCUUGAAGGAUUGAGAGACAAAUAUGUGUUUUAUUUAUCUAGGUUUGCUGUUGCUUGAGUUUGCAGAGUUCUCCAUCCAUGUUUGAUGAUCGUUUUAUUUUCCGUCUUUUGGUUAUGCCGGUUGAAAAACUUAAUCUAUGAGCGCUUCAGUUAUCUCAUAUAUAUUCAAAAUAAUAUCUGAUUUAUAUAUGCAUCUAAAUGGUGGUUGGUUUGUGAUUAGCAACUUGAUGCUUGAGUGUGUGAUGAUCUAAUUCUAAUGCCCCUGAAGCAGAUGAUGUUGCAAUGUAACAACUUAUAUGGGUAGAAACUUUUGGUUUUGAUAGAAAUAAAAAUUUUUCUUUUGCUUCAUUGUUUUGAGUCUCAUGUGCUAAUAAUGCUUGAUUCAAUUGAUUGGAAAACAAAUUUUGUGACCAGAGUAAUGCCAGUACUGCUUGAAACUAGUUCUGAGUCACAAUGAAAGAUACUUUGGUUGGUGGGUGAAAACUGGAUGUGGAAAGGCAGUAUGUGAAAGAGAUCAGUUACUUAUAAUGAUUUAGUAGCUUACUAUAUGAAAGUCUAACUUGGAAUUCUGGAAUUGCCCUCUUUUUUUUUAUUUGUCAGAGGAUUCUUGUAGUCUUACGUAGUUUUCUCAUUUUAUCUCAUUUGUCUUUCUGCAUUACAUGUUCAAUGAAGUCAUCAUUUUUUAAGCAUUGUGAUUGACUGACUUCAUUGUAUAUUCAUGUACACUAGCUUUUGCUACCCCUUGUGACUGCCUACCGAUAUGAGGGUGAUGAGGUGAACAUUACACUUGCAAAAUCAGAAGCUAAGAUUCUCCAUGAGAAGAUUUCUAAUAAGGCUUACAAUGAUGAGGAUCUCAUCAGGAUCUUGGCUACAAGGAGCAAAGCACAGAUCAAUGCGACUCUGAAUCAAUACAAGAAUGUAUAUGGGAAUGAUAUUGAUCAGGUACCCAUUUGGUCUUUGAACGCUAUGUUUGGCCAGAUAUUUUCUGAAAGCUUAUUUUUCCUCUUCUUUAAAACUUUUGGCUCCGGAUCUUCUUCUAAAAUUUAAUCUAUGUAUCUUUUCUGUGGUAAUUGAGGCCAACUGAUUGACCUCAUGGAUUCUUUUUCGCAUUUUCAAUUAAAAUUUUGAUUUCAACAGUUUGUUUUUACUGUUUAUGAUAGAAUAAAAGAAUAAUUGGAAACCAUUUCAAGAAUGAAAUAAGAUUAUUUGGUAAAACAUUUGUGGUCUUGAGGAGGGCUUUCACCACCUGAUAAGCCAUAUCUCUUUUAGGUUUAUUUUUGACUAAUCGCAUUAGUAUCCUAUUUGCAGGACUUAGAGGCUGACCCUAAAGAUGAGUACCUCGACCUACUGAGGGCCACAGUUCAGUGCUUAGUCCGCCCUGAACAUUAUUUUGAGAAGAUACUUCGUCUGGCAAUUAACAAACAGGGAACAGAUGAAGGGGCUCUUACUAGAGUCGUCACCACAAGGGCCGAGGUCGACUUGAAGGUCAUAAAAGAUGAGUACCAGAGGAGGAACAGUGUUCCUCUGGAUCGCGCCGUUGUCAAGGACACCUCUGGGGACUACGAAAAAAUGCUUCUGGCACUUUUAGGACAUGGGGAUGCUUGAGUUGUUCCCUAUUUCUUGAAGGAUUGAGAGGCAAUAUAUGUGUUUUAUUUAUCUAGGUUUGCUGUUGCUUGGAGUUUGCAGUGCUCUCUAUCCAUGUGUGAUGAUCGUUUUAUUUUCAGUCUUUUGGUUAUGCCGGUUGAAAAACAUAAUCUAUGAUCUUAUAAAUAAGAUGGUGACAGCAUUUGCUAUGAAACUGCCACUUUAUAAAGAGUUUUUUUUUUCGUGUUGAAUGGUUGGUAAAGCAGGAUGUUGUUGCUCCAUUAGUUAUGCCAUUUUAAUUGUAAUGCUAGAAAUAUGAGACAUUCACGUGUUCGAAACUAUUACUUCGUGAAUUCCCCGAGCCAAAAAUUUCAAAUGUACAAUUCAAUUAUUCUGAAAGGUGCAAUCGUUUCUACGAGUCUCAGUUGAAGAGACUUCCAAUGUCUUCUGCCAUUUUCCACUUUGCAGUUUUCGAUUCAUUAAAUUGUAGCAAAUUUCUCAGCAGAGUUUGAAACGUUUAAGUUGAAACUAUGAUCCGAUUAUCCAUCAAGAAAGCUAUCUAUGACAGACGAAUUUAAACCUGCAAAGAGUAAAAGAUUAUUCUGAUGUCGUAUUAACUGGAUUCACAUUGAUCGUUGCUAUCAUAGUCCAAUUAUCCAUCAAGAAAGUUCAGACUGCCACCUCAUUUCUACAUUUUCAUAAACAGACAUGUUUAUAACCAGGCUCAUACUCCUUCUCACCACACAAGCCGCAUCUGAAGUAACUCUAUUUCAGAAACGAGAGGAAAGAUAUCCUGCAUCACAUUUACAGGGGGCCCAAAGCAAAAACUGCGGUUCCAACCUAAUAAAAUAUCAUACAUUCGAAGUUUCAAGACAACAACAUAGACAACAGUGUAUUACAUACACGAGUCAUAAUAAACAACUGGAAGAAAGACACAUUCAGUUUACAAUCUUUUUUAACUCAUGGAGAUCCAUCCACAAAAGCCCCGAAUUGCAAAAUUUCUCAGUAAUGGGACAUCCGCAGCAUCUUCUGAUGGCUUGCUAUCUUACAUCUGACGGCCCAAGAUAGAUUAAGACUUCUUAUUAGUGGUGAACAGAGUAGCAACUUUAGGAGAACAACAACAUUUCUUGCCACAGACAAAUAUACAUCACUUCUUCGAGAUGUUACGCGAGAAGAUCCUCUUGCAAUAAGGGCUGGUGCGUAAAUUAGUAUGUCGUCUAGCGGCUUCAACGAGCGAAGCAUGAAGAGGACCCUGCUUCAGACAAAUGAAAACAAAACAAAGAGGGACUGCUCAGCAAUUUAAAACAAUACUAUCAAGGCAGAAAAGUAAACCAGAGGAUCUCUCUCUCCAAACCUUGGUCACUGACAAAGCACACUGAAUUACAUAAUUGGCGAAUGGAUCUUGCAACAACUGUUCGAAGUGAGGCACAGAAAGCAAUUCAUGGACAAUUUGAGAUCGACUUUCUCCAAAAUGCUUGAGGCAUUUUUCAACCACGUGGCUGCUGAAUUUCUGUGUUGAGAGAUGCACAUAAUGUCCUUUGAACUGCGACAGCAAGUUGGCACUGACAGAAGGGAUCUUUAGCUCUAUUAUAUAUUGUACAACAUAAUUUCUGUGACAUAAAAACAAAAGAGGUCCUGAGUCAGAGACAAAAGAUAAAAUUAUGGUACAGAUACCUGUUAGAACCUAUCACUUCUAAGACUAAAUUAUGAAUCAGACAAGAUGAUUUAACUUAGGACAUGUAAAUGAAUCAAUCGAGAUGAUAUAGGAUGUCCUACAAGCCCAAGAGGAAGUCAAUAAAGGAGAAAUUAAGAUGCCACAAAUGCUAGGGCCAGAAAGGAGAAGAGAAAUGAAUAAGGAAAGUUAACAAAAUAUACCAAACCAUAAAAUGCACCAUUCAGUCAAACUUAUUCUGAAUUUUCAAAUAUACUUAAGAAUCAGAUGCCCAUUUUUUCACCAACAUAGCAAGGAUAAUGAUCAUGCUUCAUUAAUUUAGGGUGAUGAUAUGAAGAUAAAAAUGGAACACCAAGACUGUGAGCAAAAGGCAAAAAUAUAAUUUGUCUUUCAAUUGGAAUGGCAUAAUACCAUCAUGAGACCUCAAACAGUCACUAUGUUUAGGGAAGCCAUAAUAAGCAUACAAAUGUUAACAUGAUAGUACUGCCUAAAUUCUCAUCAUGAAAAGUUUCACUCUUACAAACAAAAACAAAAACAAAAACAAAAAAUAUUGAGAAGGAAAGGCCAUGCUCUGAAGAAAUUCUUGGUGUAAACACGAAAUGAGAGUGAGCUACUCAUCCAUCAGACACCCUUCUAACAGUGAGUCCAUGAAAAGAAAGAAAGUAUUCUAGAUGAUAAUAAAGUCUGUCAAAGUUGAGGUAGCAAAUAUAACAAAAACGGAUGGGACUUCGUUACAGGCUACCUUUAAUAACCACGGCAAUAUGCUGAUUAGUGAAACAUUCAUCAAUAAGAGUUUUAUGAUGCAAAAAACUGAAAAUUAACUAAAACUACGCUUUGGAACUCAUAUGUACUCUACAUGAAACGAUGGGGUGCCCUUCCUACAAAAUAUAGAAGGGUAGAGACCGCCAAAAGUUGUCAUAAAAAAAGAAGGAUCUAUUUUUUAAAAUUUAACUGUCCCUGAUUUUUCCAUUAGGAAUCAAAACAUACUUAUUUAAAUGACAACUAUUUGGUGGAAUAAAAAGAUUUAUAUUUUUUUAUUAAGAAUAGCCUCUUCAAUUAAGCUAAGCUUUAAUUAAAACAAUGAGGUGAGUCAAAGAAAACAUCGAGGACCAGAACAAUGUGAUUAAUCAAAGAAGUAGUUAUCCCAGGGUAAGAAAACAUUACUUUGUAUUACAAAUCCUAUCAAGAGUUUGAGAGUAAAGAAGAAUUAGUGAACAUGAGUGAUUACCCAAAAGGAUCUUGAGCAAGGUGACGCCCAUUCUUGGAAAUUUCAGUGAUCAACUUAUCCCGAUGUCUCCCAAUGGAAUGAGCAAUGCAUCGUUGCAAUACACAACAGCCAUGCUGAUGAGUAGCUAUGUCAACGCAAAACUUUGCAGCAGCAUCAAAAAUAAACUGCAACACACAAUGACAGGUUAUUAAAAAGAUUAAAACAGGUUUCAAAUAUUUGUUGGCAAAUUAUUGAAGGGCCUGCAGAUAUAUUUUAAUUAAAAAUAUUUGCCCAGACAAAAUCUACACUGGUUUAAUAAAUUGCUUAAAGCAGAAAUUAUUCCCAACAUUUUUGAGAGAAUGAUACAUGCUACUUUCAUAUAUAUUCUGGGAACAUAAAUUCUUUGGUCAAGUUUAAGUUCAUCAAUUACUGAGCUGGAUCUAAGACAAAUAUCAUCAGCAUCAGAUUAGAUUUGAAAUGGAAUCUAGUCGUCACAAAUUUGCCUAGCUGCCAUUCUAAAUACAAUUAGAAACUCCACAUGAUGAGGCAAUCUCCAAGAAAUUAUGAGUUGGUCAAGCAUUAGUUUCUCUUCCAUGGCCUACAACUGCAUGUAUGGUCUCAUACACACAAGUUUAUAUCUGCUUCAUUCCACUUGGUACAAGCUAUAUCUCCAUGCACGUGUGCAUCUAUCUAUUCACCUAGAGACAAGCACCAAUUGAUGACCAGAACUUGCUGGUGCUAUUUUAAAGUCACCCUCAUACCAAAAGCCAUCUAUCGUACAAAGUGGCAGGAGAGAUCUGCUAAUCAAACGAAAGAUAAUCAUUACCUCUAAGGUUCCAGUUUAAGAUGAUGCUAAUUCACUAACAAUUUGCACUCUAAGCAAAGUUGCAGAUUAGAAUAAUUCUUGAUUCCCAGAUUAUUAACUUGGACAACAUUUGACCAAUCCUCUUUAUGAUUUUCCAUUCUGCGCUGACCCAGUGAUAAUCAUAAAUGUGUUGGUUCAAUAUUUAGAAAACUUCAAAGUACCAAGAUAGGUUGUCAAACCGAGAUAUAUUCCUAACAUUAAUAUAAUGGCAACAGGCUCAAAAUGUCAACAGAACACAAAAAACCAUGAUAUAUUGGAAUUGGAUGGAGGGUAAACUUGAAAGAACAUGACAAGCUAAAAGACAUAAACUAAUAAAGGAGGUUGAUAGUCAUAAAUUUCAACACAGAGGCAUGAAAUAAUAUGAUCAUCUCUAAAAUUGAAUUGGCAUUAAUUUAGAAAGAAAUAUUUGUAAUUUUGGUCCAUUGAUUAGAAACCAUGACUGGAAAACUUCCUGAAGUACCAGGCUAAGGUCAAACCAUUCAAGGAACGGAAACUGCACUUAAUACUCUGGAAACCACUGAUAGAGAGUGACAUUAUAUGACUUGAAAGUGAAGUAAACAUUUCCGUAAAGAUCAGUUGAUUCCUAGCUAGUGAUCAAAUAAGUUCCUUGUGCCUGGCCAAUGUAAAGCAGGAUUUCUGUUGCUGACCGAGUAUACAUAUGAGAUUAACCUGUCGUCAGUUGAUUGGCUUUUAAUUGACAGUCAUAGGCAUGUUACAAUAAUUAUAUAAAGGAUGGUUUGAUUACCCUUAAAUAACCAUUUCGCUUAUGCCUCCAAUGCAGGCAUGAAGCAGAAUGGUGAAAAGAUCAAUAUAGGCCACCAAGAUACUAGUUCUAUGCUCUGAGUGACACUGAUAUGAUCUAAUGCAAAUGCAUAAGAUCCAUAUCACAAAUUGAUGUAGGAAGACGUCAAUGAGAAUGACCACCCAAAUUCUAGAGUCUUUUUUUAAGAAACAGCAUACCAAAAUAUCAAAUGCUAUAGAUAAGGAGAUUAAAUAACAUUUGAUCUUAAGAAAUUAACAUAACUCUCAUUUUACUAAAGAAAUGUAGAGAAAAAACUAUACCUCAUUAUCUUCAUUGCUAAGGCAUUGCAAGCAGCGUUGUAAAACAUGAUUGCCAUUCAAAUCCUUAAUAAGAUCAAGAAAGCCAGGUUUGAGUGCUGCUUUGACCAGCGAAAUCUGCUGCCUAGUUUUUAGAGUCUCAAUCAACUUCUGCACCACCCGUGUGCUGGUAAUCAUAACACCAAAUCACCAAUUUAUUUGGAAAGAACCAAAAAAUUGCAAGAACAGUCAUUUGAAAAUUAUCAAUGAGCAGUGCAGCUAUUAAUUCAUGUACAAACAAUUUACCCAUAUGUGUUUAAGCAAACUCUGACAAGCUGUCCUGGUUCUUCAGUUACCAUUAGCAGAAUCCGCGUCAUUUGUUCUUCAGUGCACACAUUGAGCAACUUCUGCACAAGGUAAUUGCCAAACUGCUCCAUCAUAAGCUCAACAAUAUGAUCAACGACCUCGUCAAAUAUAAUUUGUAAAUCUAGAAAGGUUCCCUCAUCAAACACCCUUUGUAAGAACCGACAACCAUUUUGAUCCUUUGCCAUCGAGUAUAUAUAACCGCGGACAUCAGCCAAAGAACUGGAACUUGAUAGCAAAUGCAAUGGACAACGAAUAUCCAUUAAGCUCUGACCAUUAUCACAAAUUACUCCAUCAUAAGGACAACCAUCAUGUUUACAAAUUUUCACCGGUUGGUUUCUUGUUACAAUCUCAUUGAGAUUGUUCUGCUUGUAACCCUUCAAUGAAUCACGUCCUUUGCUGGCAGCUUGAUUAAUACUUCUUCCUUGUAUGAUGAAACUAUCUUCACAACCAAAACCCUCUAUAGCACCAGCACCGUUGACAGGCAUGAAAGAUUCUGAAACCCUGUUGUUUGUCAUUGCAUUAGUCCUCCCUUUCAACAUUGAAUGAUUAUACAACAGAGUGUCCAAAUCUAAAUCAGACUCAGUUUGCACCAGCUGACUGGAAAACAAAUGAUUCAUGACACCAAUAUCUCGGUUAGAAUCCAAUCCAAGUUGCUGUGCUCCAACGAAAGCAUCAUUAACAUAAGACCUACUAAUUCUAGAUGGAUUUUGUAACCAAGUACCCGCAUUACUCCAGCUCCUCCCCUGUUCCAUUCUCUGCUGAAGGUACUGAUGCCUUAAACUACUAUAACUUGGACCGAAACGAAAAUCAUUAGAAUGAUCGAGACAAAGACCAAAAUUAGACUCCUUCAAGUCACCCUCACCGUACUGCCCACCAAAAGCAGUCAAUAAAGACUUCCUUUCAUCAUCAAAACUCUUAGAAACUGCAGUAUGAGAGGAACUUAAUCCUUGAUAAUCGGAAACAACGUUGUUAAGACCAUCAAAUACCCUAUAUUUCUCGACAUUAUAAGGUACACCAACGCUCCCUCCCAAAGAAGCAUCACUAGUAAAACCAAAGCGAACCCCAAGAGGGUCCACGAUAUCAAGCCUCUUCAAUUUAGCACUAUGAUCCAAGUGCUCCUCUCCAACUCCUCCAAUAUUCAUUCUGUAAAGAUUCUCACACAAACCCGUUUCAUAGUCCAAAGCGUCAUUAACAUUCCCCCUGUGAAAACAAGAAUCAGUUGAUUUGGCAUCCCACAACAUAUCAUUAAAACAAUCAGUGGCAGCACCGCCACGUGCCUUAUACUUGUUAGCAUUCUCAACACUGUCAUUAUAGAGAACAUUGUUUGGUUUGGAAAAAGGAGAAGCAUCAUCCUCAGAGAAGCAACAAAACCCAGUGUUAGAAAAACAAGAACUUGAAGGAGAAGAGUGCUCUGUUGUAGAUUGCAGAGACACUCUACUAAAAGGUGACCCACCCACAAGAUUAUGAUGUUGAUGUUGAUGUUGAUGAUGAGCAAAACUCAGAGAUUGAUUUUGAGUUAUCUCAUUCAACAUCCUCCCAAGCUCAUCCUCCUCUCUUCUCAUCCUUUCUUUUAUCACUCUCUUUUCCUCCUUUUCGGCUUGCUUAUCCAUCGUCUCAACAACAACAACAGCAGCAGCAAUACUAUUACCACGUUACUAAAUAUGAAACGCAAAAACACACACGAAACAACGUCAGAAAGCAACCAAAACACCUACAUACGAAGAGGAUAUUUUAUAUUUUGGCUUUCGUUUUUUUUUUUUUUUUUUCCUUUUCCCCCCUCUCUUUUCUGUUUUGAGUACGCAAAUGAGAGAGUGAGAGAAAUGUUUUUUUUUUUAUUUUUUUUUCUGGUUUGAUACAGACGGUUAUACAAAAGUGUAUGCGCCGUACGGGCGGCUGUCGCUCGCCAUGAAAAUGAAGUCGAGUGUGCACACACCACCUUGCGCUGAAUAAAAAGCAGAGAGCGAGAAUGAGAGGGGAUCUGACUAGGAAAUUUCUUUUAUAUAUUAUAUUCUUUAAAAUAUAUAUAUAUAUAUAUAUAUAAACUGAGAUUUAAAUAUAAUUAUUUUGUUAAUUAACUAGUUUAAUUUUGAUCUUGUUAGUUAUAAGUAUCUUUUAAGCUAAACUGAAUCCUAACCUCUCUGCUCGAUUUUCUCUUGAUAUUUUUGACCGGCACCAAUCGAGAUCGGGAUCUUUAACAUUCUGAAACCCACGCCAAUGGAAAUCAAAUGAAAAAUCGUUUUGAGUGUUGAUCGAUCAGACGGUUAGGAUUGUAUUGUUUACACUGAAGCCGGACUCAGCUGAUAAAUAAAUAAAUCUCGCAAUGCAAGCCGUUUCUCUGUUGUAUAAUCCUAUUUCAAUCCACAUCUACCGUCACUUCCAAUUACGUAACCUAAAUAAAUCUCGGGCACUGAUGACUCAUGAUUCAUGAGUCAUGAGUCAAACAAAUGGGCAAUGAUACAGAAAUGGUCGAGUACCACAUUGCCACUUGGCCGCUGGUUUCUUGUCACCCAAGACAUCUGGAAGAGAAUUUCAUUCAACUUUGCCCUCGCGAACCUUUUUAUGACAAUUUGAAGAGCCAAUAGGAUUUGUACCAAAGCAAAUAGAGGACCGAACCAAUUGAAAUAAGUCGUGCGAAAGGCUACACAAUUUUUCCAAUUAUAGCUAAGCAAAUUAAUGUUCCAACUUUGUCCUUUGUCCACCGAAGAAAGGAACUGGAAUGAUGAUGGCUUUCCAACUCAAUUUUUUUUUAUAUAAAGUAAACGGGGAACCAGUCGUCGAUCAUAUUGGUAUAAUGGUGAGGGAGGGAGGGAAUGAAUAUUUUGCAUAUUAAUUAAUAAUUUGACAGGGAAAGCUAACUUAGCUCUUGAAAAUUCGAAAUUAAUUCCUCGGCGGAAAAAACCACUUGGGCUAAGCCCAAGUGGCCAGAGUCACUCCCUCACAAAUGUGAGGGAAGUGGUUCGAGCCUCCGCAGACGCAUUGUAGGGGUUUGAUUUCAAUUUCUUUCCUUAGAGCCUCAGAGCUUGAGUGAAGACAGUCUUUCUCCCAGAAUGGGAGUUGACGUCCCUCGAAUAUUUGAGAGGGUUAAAAAUCUGAGCGGUACCAUAUCAGAAUUGAUGUAAACGAGUCUCAGUAUAUAUAUGAUUGUAAAUGUCAUCAUGAGCAAUAGUUCUCGUUCAAAAAAAAAAAAUUCCUAGGCGGAAAAGCAAAAAGCCCCCAAAUAAUAUAAUAAACUAAAAUGGUCGCAAUUCAGUAGUAAUUCACCAUAUAACUUCUCAGAGAAGGUAAUCAAUCAUGAGACCGGGAUUCUGUUGCGAGUCCCUUUCUUCCCCUUUUUAGUGUUUGACUAGUGACAUGCAGGUAUACUUUAUUUAAAGAAUUAAGAAGGAAAAAAAAAGACCGCGUUUUAUAUUUAUGAUGCAAUGGAGAGCAAACAAGCCUUCCUUUGAAAGUUCCCAGCCGAUGCGGAUUCGGCGAAUUUGCUUGCUAUUCACGUCAAGUGAAGGGGCUAAUAAAAAAAAAUCCUGCUGUAUUUUUUUUUUAUAAAUAUUUUUGAAGGAAACUUUAAGAAAGAAAGAAAAAAAUAAAAAAAAAAGAUAAUUACCGCUGGCCGUUACAUGAUAAUGGCGGAUAGGCGAUAGCUGUAGACGACAAGCAGUGGUGAAAAAUUUACAUUCAAGUCCUUGUCACUCGGCAAUACUGCAGUAGCACGCACAAAACAAAACCAUAGCCUAUAUAUAUGAAAUAUGUACAAUAGCUGUCCUGUCUAGGUGGCUGCUGCAAGCACGCAAGUUUGUUACAUCGUUAAAAAUUUACAGCCAUGGUCGAGCCCCGAGCUAAAAUAACUUCUCUCUAUUCAGCAAUUACGAUUCAAGUUUAAAGCCAUUAAAGGAUUAACUAAAUAAUAAGCUUACUUUUUUCUUCUUUUUCGUAUAUUCGGGCCUAAUGCAAAGUCUUUUACUUCUUGGCCAAUUUGAGAUUGUUUUUGAGAGCUUAAAGGUGACUUUAAAGUUAAAAACUAAUUUUAGUAUUUAGUAAUUUUUUUGAAAAAUCACUUUUGGUAAAAUCAGUUAUUCUUUAGUAAAUUUUGAAAAGUAGGAAAGGAAUUUCUUUUCGAAAUCUGAUUUUAAGAAUUAAUUUUACACUGAUGAUUACAGUUCCAUGUAUAUUUCCACAUAUUAUAUAAAAAUCCAAAAUUAUCCUUAUUCAAUUAUGAAAUUAAAUGAAGAAAUUUAAAGAGAUUAAUAUUGUUACCAAUAAUAUUGAGAUGACAAAAAAAAUUAAUUAUUAUUAUUUUAAUUAUCAAUUAUUAUAUAUAAACAAUAAAUUUUUUUUAUAUGUUUAUAAAUGUGUAGGUAAACUUUUAUUUAAUAUUGUAUCUAUUUCAAUCAUUUGUAUUUUUAUAGCAAUUUAACAAUAAGAUUUAUAAAAUGUAUACCACUGCUUUUUAGAACUUAAAAAAUUUUGAAAAUAAAUUUUACUAAACACUUAAUUGAUUUUCUUCAUAACUAAAUAUUUCUAUAGUACACCUGACAUCAAUUGUUUUAAAAGUUACAACAUUACUAAAUUAGCCAUUUAUCUCGAGCAAAGACAUAAGUUACAUGGGCUUAAACCAUGGGUGGAAUCAUGCCAAAAAUAAUAAGAGCACCAUAAUUUAAUUUUCCUUUACCUUUAUGUGCAUUGAAACAUAUAUUUUCAACAAUUAAUAUCAUAAUAUGCAAUACUUGAUUUUAAAAGUUUAAAAAAAUAAUAUUUUAAUCCGGAGAGAUCCCUUAACUUAAAUUCUUUACUUAGAACUAUGUCUAAAUUGUGUUGUUUAUUGGAAUCUACUUAAUUUAAUGAUAAGGACUUGAAAAAUAAUGUUUAUAUCUUCGUUCAUCUAUCAUUAGAAUCCACACAUAUUUAAUAAGGUUAGGUUUUUUUUUAUUUAAAAUUUUGAUACAAAUCUUAAGCUAUUGAUUUCAAUAAUUCAACGAUAGAUAUUAAAACUUAAAGUAUCAUUUAGUGAUGGUUAUUCAUCCACCAUUUGAUUGCUUGAAAUCAAUACCUCAAAAUUUAUAUCAAAAUUUCAAGUUAAAAUAACCCCACUCUAUUUAAUAUUAUCAACUCAUUUAUCACCACCAAAUUUUAUGAGUUCAAUGGUUUAAAAAUUGUAUUUCCGAAGUUUAAAAAAAAUUAAAUUGAUUUAUCCCUUCCCGAGGGAUAGUUAGGAUUACUUUUAACUUGGCCUCUAUAUACAUUUUUUUUAAUUUCUAUUAGCUUGAAUUGAAACACAAAUUUUCUGUGAUGGUUAUCAUAUACAAAUUGAAUAGGGGAUAAAUAAAGAGAAAAAUAGUAUUUGAUGUUACUAACUCAUAUAUUACAUAACAACUAAAAAGAAAAUGAAACAAUAAAGCUACGUCCAUCACCAAGAGAACUACAUCUAAAAUAAUAUUCGGAUAGUUGAUUAUGCAAUGAGUUACUUCAAAAAUUGUGAUUCUACUUGGUAGUGUUGCCAGAUCAGGAUUCUCUCAUGAUCUGAUCAUGUUCUGACCAAACUAAUUAAUUGUUGAUUGGUUGUUAAUAAAUAAAAAAAAAUAAAGAAGUUAAAUCUUACCCAUACACUACCACUAAAAGACACAUGGCAAAAGAUUUUAAAAAAAUCAGUAUAGCUCAGAUCAGGAGAGGAUCAUGUUCCAGUGUUGCCAUCACAUGUCAGAUUUAUAAUAAAUGUUGGGACAUUUAAUAUUACUUUAAUGAUAAUAAUAUAUUAAAAUUUAUGAAAGUUCACAAUUCACUAUAUGGAUAACACAUUGUUUAAGAUAAAAAAUUUGUGAUAAAAUUUAAGACAUCUAACUAUAAAUCUCAAAUAAAAUAUCAUUUGCUUAAAUAACAUAUCACAUGCUCUUAAAAAAUGACACAAAAAAUAUAAGAAAAAUGUGUCUAAGCAUAAUUAUAAUUUUAGGCUUCAAUCUUCAGUUCUUCACACAGUAAGCAGACAGAUGAAAUCAGAGAGAGGUCACGUAAAAGGAGAGGGUUGUUUGACCGAGACAGAGAGGCACCUAUUGUAGAGAAGUUGAUUUUGAAAAUUGAAAGAGAUGGUUCUAGUAUAAAGGUCGUUUUAAUAACAAAAACAAAUUAACGAGGAGAAUUAUAUAUACUAGAGUAUUAGAGUAUCUUGUAGUGUGUGUAUAGUCCUUCUCUAGUAAAAAUAUUAUUAAAAUACAAAAUUUAAUAUAUUAAAAACUGUAUUUUUUGUUUGUUGGUGAAUUAAAAUCUGAUUUUUUUUUUUUGGUUUUUUAAUGCCCUUACAUAUGGAGAGUAAUUAUGUAAACUAGUAACCAUUGGAUUGAAUGACAUAGAUGGCUAAAAAUUUAUGCUAAAAUUUUUUAAUUCAAUGUUGAAGUUAACAAACUAAUUUGAAUUCUAAUUGUACGUGUAACUCAUUUAUUAAGUAAUGAAUGUCGAUAACAUGUUAGAUUAAUAUUCUAUUAUCGGAUAAUUAAAUGACACAUCUAUUAAAACUUAAAUUUAGACUCAAAUGCUAACAUAAAAUGUAAUUUAUAAAUUACAAGUUAAUAUCCGAAUUAAAAAACAUGACUUCUGAUUUUUAUAAAUUAAAAUGUGAAGUGGUAAAGUGUGACAUGACAAUUGCAUUUGUAACUGCUGCACCAAUACGCUGUAGUUAUUUUGUAGAAGAACCUUGAAGACUUUAAACAUCCCCUUCUGCAUGGGCCGACAAGACCGGGCCAUUCAUUGGUUUGGAAAGGUUCGGAAACAUGCUGAAAAUAAAACGUAUCGAGCGACUUUGACUUGCACAUUUAACGUGGAUACACGUUAAAGCUGAACAAAUUUGGAACUUGAAAAAAGUCUAGAAUCAUAAUGUAUCACUAAUAAAUAAAAUUGGACAUGGUAAGCAGGCGACAGAUUUCACUAGAACAAGCACUGAAAAGCACAAGAAUAUGGACAAACAAACCGAAUUAGGAAGAAAGUCCAUAGCUCAGGCAACAUGUUAAAAACCCUAAAUAGAACAAGAUUCCCAAAACCCACAAUGGACGGUCAAAUAAUAUAAUCACACACCCUUACUACGAUGAAUAACACAACACCAGACAGGGUAGAUAAAAUAACUCAGUUAGACCUAACAAGUUAAACCAAGGCAAUGCUGCUCUCGCCGCCUGGAGGCUUGCGUACUCCGCCCAGAUAGUCUCGAGACUCUACCUUACCAUCAGCAAAAAUGUUACUGCCACUCAUCUCCCGUAGUUUUGCUACACUAAGUGGCUUCUCGGCAGAUGAUGGAGGAACAUCACCCUUGAAUAUGUCAUUUCCUGAUAGCUCAGAAAAUUUCUUAUCGUAAAUUUUCUUUGAUGUCUUCAUCACAGGUUCCUCAGUUGAACUUAUGCUGCUCUGGUCUCCAGCAGGCUACAAAGUUAAAUCCAGGGUCAAAUGCAGUUAGAUACUUGAAUUCCAUUAAAAUAAACGCACAGAGCCAAAAAAUAGACAUAGAUAAUAAUAAAGAAGCAGAGAAUCAAAGAACUGGAAAAACGGCAUGAAAAGCAAGCAUAUAUUGCAGUUGGAACUGAAAAGGGCAAAACCACAAGUCCAUGUGCAAUUUGUGCCACAGAUACUUCAACAACAAAGGUUAAGGCAAAGAAUAUAAUCAAUUAAAACAUCCUAGCAGACAAAAUUACUACUGGGCACUCAAUGCAAUCUUCUUAACCCCUCCAAAAGAAAACACAAUGUUAUGAAUGGCUUAAUGGAGCCUAAAUAUGGCAUAACUUCAAUUUUUUUUUAGGAAUAAAUCUAGAAGUUUUUUUAUUCUUUUCGUCUUUUAUAAGAAAAUAUAAACCAAGAAGUUGUUCAAUCAAUGUACUUGGCUCAUGCAUGAUCUCCUAUGCAACCUCUCAAUUUAAUCCUAAAAUUUCCACGGCAAGGGAAGGAGGGGCAGGGCAAGGGGAACUGAGAAGGAGAACAAAGAAAUAUGUAUAUGUAUCCAAACAUCACUCACAGUAAGGACUCCGACAGAUGUUUGUACAUCUUGUGGAGCAGAGUCUCCCAAGUUGAAGUUUUCCUUCAAUGCCAAGGCACGCACUGCUGGCCGUGGUAAAAUUUCUGGAGGGGGUGCAAAGAUAUCAUGUCCGCUAAGCUCCUUGCUCUUAGCAUCAGAAAUCUGCUUCUUCAACUUUGCCUCUGACUCACUUUCCAGUGUCCCACUAAGCUCACGCUGCUUAGCCACCUCAGGUAGAGUAGUAGGUUUUUUGGGUGAAAUGCUAUCUUCCUCACCAAACGAGAUAUGACUGAUUCCAGCAAUUGCUUGCUAACAAUUCCAAGCAUCACCAUAGAAAAUAGUCAGUUUAAGCCGACAGAAAUUCUUCAAAUGCAAGAAUUAAGAUACCUGAUACAUCCGUAGUCCCGUUUUGUUAUUUGGAGUAGGAUUUGCACUACCAGAUUCUGAUUCAUCAUUUUCCGCACCAGCUGCAAAAAUGCCACUACCAGUCAUCUCCUUCAUUUUAUACCCUGAACAAGGUUUCCUGCAAAGUAGAACAUCAAUGGUUUUAGUCUUAGGUCGUUUAAUACUCUCAUAAAAACAGAACCAAAUAUAGAGAGAUAAAAAGUUUAUUUCACUUAAAUAAUAAAAUACAGAACUUUAUAUUAACAGAGCCAUCUAAUUCAGUUAUUUGCACCAAAGUUGCUGGAUCGAGCUGAAACUGAUAUUUAAGGACACACUAACCCCCCUCCCCAAAAAAAAAGAAGCAUUUAUGGAAAACAGAAACAAGUUUAUGAGCAUUCCAUCUCAUUUUUGCUAAACAAUCGACUAUCACUUCUCCGUGCCUUGAUGUUUUAAGCUUUUAAAUGGCCAGCCAUACAAUUGCAAACACUAAAUUGGAACUAUCUGACAAAUUGGUAAAAAAUUGAUACGUAGUUGUAUUGGUUUCUUGUUUCCUGAUUGAUAAAUGCCAUUUUGGACUACUUAGAAAACAUACAUUUCUAGUCCAUAAGUGAAUCUUCCCUAGUGAAAAUUCUGUCUAAUACUGAUUUUCAUCAAACCUACUAAUAUUAACGAGGAUACCACAGCCAGAUCUCCUUUGAUAGAUCUAAAAUCAACAGGAUUAAUCAAGCUAAAUCUAAUUAGUAAUGCUUUUUCAUCAUAAAUUGAAACAUCUAAAAGAUUAUAAGUUUCAUGCAAAUUUAAUAAGGAGUAUAUAUAUAAUCAUAAGUUCACAAGCAAUAUUCAAAGUCAAAUCCAAGUAAAAAUCGAAAGACCGUUGCAGAAAAAGACAAGUAAAACAUUAAUGGAAACCAAAAUCCAUGACGACUACAGACAAAGGACAGAACAAACAAAACAAAUGCGUGUAUAUUUCAGCAAAACAAAACAACACAAAACAAAACAAAUUUUAGGACCAUCUAUACGCAUUUAUUAUCCAUUAAAAAAAUUAAAAGUAAAUAAAUAAAACUAAAUUUGGAAUGAAUAGCAGAUCUCACCUUCUGUUUAAACUCUCAACUUCCUCAUCCGUCACCUGACCCCCAAAAACCACUUUACUGAUCCCAUCCGACGGCUACAGUUGCACCACGUCAACCAAAGUCGUAAAAAAUAAGCAGACGAAGUUGUAAAAAAGCAACAAAAUCAAAAAAGAAAAUGAGCUUUACUUGUCCGCGUACGGAGGAGCGCGUGGAGGAGGCCUGAGCAGGGGAAUCAGACGGUGGAGUUUCGGACCAAACGAGCAGAUCUGCUGUUGAUGUGUGCGGUUUCCUCACCGGAGUGCUUCUCUCCAUUUCAAUAAUCAAAUUACUUAUCCAAAAAAUAGUACAAAGAGCCGCUCUUCUUCAACAAGUUUUCUGUACAGCACACUGUGUCUGUGGACUGUGGCUCUGUUUUAGGCCGAAGAGAAGGAGAGAAAAAAAUGAAGGAUGGAUUGAAAUGACGAAAGUGUCCUCGUGAUCUGGAACUUUCUUGCUUUAAAGUUUAGCUUUUGGGAGUGAUGAUGAGUGAGAAGAGAGCUUAUUUAGCUUCAGCCUUGGAUCAUAGAAUUAAGGAGUAGCUGCUACUACAACUCUCUUUUUUUUUUUUUUUUGUUGUUCUGUUUUUAAAGCAAAGAAAGAGAAAAUUUUGAAAUAUUAUUAUAACCGUCGAGACUCUCACUCCACUGACACUUCGAAACUUAAUUUCAAGUUUCUCUCUCCACUACAGAAUUUGAAUCUUGUACCGCCCUCAAUUGAUUUCUGAUCUGAUUGUUUCUGUGCCACGCAAUCCACCGGCAAGUGCCCGUUGCCUUGGACGAUUAACCGGCUGGUCCCUAUGAAAUUACCCAAAUAACCCUGAUAAUUGAUUUUGCAUUGUUUAGCUCAUUUAUCCUCCGCGUCGAUGACUUUAGAUAUCCAAUUUUUGUCAUUUUAUUUCCCGUUAGGCUAAUCUCUAAUUCAACUAGAUAUUUAGACGCCAACUUGAUGCGUUUUGUUUCGUGUGAACUUGAUUUUAGUAAUUUUACGCGUAACAUUGUGCAAAUUGCAUAAGAUAACUCUCGUGAUUUAAGGUGACCAAAGCUAAAAUAAGUAUUAUUUCUUCUUUUUUUUCUGAGACCCAUGUUUUGAUAGAGAUGCUCUCCUCAUUGCUACUCCAAGAAACUGCAUCAUCUUCUUUUUCAUACCCAUGUGAGUAAAGCAAUCAAAUUGUUGGCUCUGAUGCCAUUUUCCUCUAGAAACAACAUCAUUUUUUUGGUGGGGGCAUUAUACCAAGUUUCACGUGUGGUGAAUAUGGCAAUCCUUGCACAAGUGAUGAGUGAAUAUCAUUUCAUCAUCACUCAUAAAACUGCAUCAUCUCCUCCCGUAAUUCCUCCUCUUUUUGACUUUUUGAAAAAUAUUUAUUAAUUCAUACAGAUAAAUGGUUGGUAAAUUUUAAAAAACAAUUAUUAAAUGAGUUAUGAAUUCAAACAAUUAGAUUUGGCUUAUCCAUAAAGAAAAUCAAAACAUUAUAUUUAAAUAAAUGCUCUUUAAAGGAUAAUUAUGAAUCAGGUAAAUGUUGCGUUGUUGGCUAAAAGGGUAUGGACAGUCAUUUUGAGAGUAUUGACGUCACAUAAUGUUAUGUAUACAUAUAAUUUGUUCGUUUGAGUAGUUUAUACGGAACUUGGCGUAGUGAUAAAGUAAUUCGCUGGACAAGACAAUCUCUUAACUUGCAUCUCGGCUUCCAUUGCGGGAGUUUGGACAUUUUAAAUUCUUAGUUUUGGUAAUUUACAAGGAAGUCCUUGUAUAUGCAGAGAACUACUUUUAGUACCCGGUCCCAUUGCAGGACUUGCUCAUCAUUCAUCAUUCAUCAUUCAUCAUUCAUCAUUCAUCAUUCAUCAACUCCACCUUCAUCUUCAUCUUCAUCUCCACCCAUCAGUCAUUACCCAAAGGUGUCAACUCUUCACAUUUUAAAAGAGAGAUGUCUAUUUUACUCACAUUGAAUAAUGCCUUCACUUAAUUAUAAUAAGAAAUAAACCCCUACAUGCGUCGCAGCGGUCUACUUUACUCACAUUGAAUAAUGCAUUCACUUAAUUAUAAUAAGAAAUAAACCCCUACAUGCGUCGCAGGCCUCGAACCGCUGCCCUCACAGUUGUGAGAACAAGGCUCUGCCCACUUGACCAAAGGCCAAGUGGUUUUUUUUUUUAAAUUUCUAAAUGAUAGUCUAAUUGAUUUCACAUUUUACAAUAGAAAUAAUAGGUCAAGAGUAUAAAUGUACCGUAUGUAUUUAAUAUUAGGUGCAUGAAAUCCAUUUACAAAAAUCGGUAGCAAAUUUACAAUGACAGAAAAACAUUACCACAGGGAGAGGAGGGGACAUAGAAUAGAAGAUGAAUUUUAAUAAAUUAGUAUUUGAAAAAACAAAUGAAAAGUGGACCCAUUAGCAUUACAAAGCGUGGAAAAUAAUAAUGUGUCCGACAUUGCAAAUGCAACCUAACUUGCCACAUGCCCAACAAACGAACGAAACUGCAGAUUCCUUAAAGCAGCUAUAACGUCGGCUUUCCUAGAUUUUUAUAAUGUUUUUUUAUUUUUAUUUUUUUAAUAACAUCGUCCUCUCUUAAUUGAAUAAUAUUUCAUUUUUAUGAAUCCUCAUUGUCAUCGAACCUGUAACUACUACUACUAUGAUAGGUUAUGUCAUUGAUUAAUUAAACAUUGUCACCCCCAGUUGUAUCAGAGUGCAAGGACCACCUUUUUUUAUUUUUAUUUUAAUACAACAUAAAUUAGUGCUAAUUAAAUGUAUAAUCUUGUAUCAGUCAGGAACUUGUAAGAAGAGUGUUGCGUUGGAGGAUUUGUCUAAGAAUAUUAUGGUUGCCGGUAAUCUCACGUCUUGUAGGGAAUAUCAACUGUAUUUUAUAGGUGUACAAUUUUGGGUGGAAUUGAUAUAAUACAUAUGAUGAUACGAUAAUUAAGUUCAACUGAUAAAAAAAAGAUAAUGUAUAAUAAAAUCACACACAAACUUAAUUUAAUUCAAUAAUUGGAAUAAUAAACUAUGAUAAUUAUUUUGGUAGUUAGAGAAAAUUAGUGCUAAUUAUUUGUACAAUCUUCUAUGAAUUACAAAAUUUGCAAGAAGAGUGUUGUAGUUGGAGGAUUUGUUUAAAAAAUAAUAUGAUUGUUGGUAAUCUCACAUCUAGCAAGGAAUAUCAACCAUAUUUUAAAAUGGUACCAAUUAAGAGUCUAAUUUUAGGUGAAAUUGACAUAGUACAUACUAUGAUUAUAAUUCAAUUGAUAAAAAAUAAUACAUAAUAAUGUCGCACACAACUUAAGUUGAUUCAAUAAUGGUCAUUAUAAAAUAUUGUGGUAGUUAGAGAAAAUUAAUCCCAAUCAAGAAAAACAAAAAAGUUCAAUAAAAACAUCAAUGUUGCACAAAGAUGGUCAUAAUGCUCACAAAAUAAUGCCCUUGUGAAAUUAGUGCGCCUCAUCCUUUUAAAUACAAGCAGGGAGUAACAUCUACAAUUAUAAGAAAACUAGAAAAGUGAGAAAAUUAUUCAAUCUUGACUGAACAUCAAUGUCAUACACCAAAGAUUAAUUUUAAUGGACCAAUAGAACAUUGUAAGCGGAACCAAACAAAGAUAUGUCGGCAGGGUAAGAAAAUUGACACCUACAAUAAACAAAUUUAUUUGGAACCAACCAACCCAGUAAUCAUUCUACAAUUGUCAAUUUGUCAUCCGGGGCUUGCUUUUAUGGUGAGCUCUUGAGUCUUGAACAAUUGAUGAACAGAUUCACAUUUAGCCUGCUCCACAGUCCAUAGAAGUAGAACCCACCAAAAACUAUAAAGAAAUAUUAAAAAAAUAAAAGGCAUUUCAUUUUUAUAUACAAGCAUAUAAAGCAUUGGCCACUUUGACAAUCAAAGCUGGUUAAAAAAAAUGGACUGAAAAACAAAAAAGAAAGCAACACGCCCACCGUGGGGCUCGAACCCACGACCACAAGGUUAAGAGCCUUGCGCUCUACCGACUGAGCUAGACGGGCUCGGACGCUAAUCGUCGUUUUGUUUCUGUAUUAUAUAAGUAUUAAGGUCAACCCAACAGAUCAUAAGAGCCUAGUCUUGAAAAUACGUAGCCCCGCAACAGACGAGAAGAUAAAAGGAGAAGGUACACAUCAAUUCAAUCAGAGUUGUUGACCUACUUUGAUCGUUGAAAAUGUAUAAUAAAUAGAAAAUAUAAAAUUUUCAUAUGUUUGAAUAGAUUCAACGAGAAGUAAAACACGAAAAAUAAGACGUAUUUUAUACAUUUAGAUCCCCUAGAGAUAUAUUAUUGAUUAAGUUUCCGAUAGGAUGAGAUUUUAAUAUGAACUUUUGUACUACAUGUAUGAAUCAAAUGUCACAACGUAUAAGUGUGUGGAUUUACGCCUCUAUAAUUUGGAUAUUAAUCUUUUUGAUAUCUUUAGUGGUACGAUGACAAAAGAGUUUUCUUAUAUGAUUAGUUUACCAGUUCAUUUUCAUCAAGCAAGAGUGCUACAGCGCAAGUUAUUUUGUUAACUUGGGAAACAUCUGUCUCCACUUUUUGUGGUCUCGGCUUUCAUGUUCUAAGCAUCUUCACAGCCUAGGACAAGAGAAAUUACCUCUUCGGUUUUCCGUCGUCGUUAAUAUGGUAGUACUUCAUUUGGGUAUCUGUCUAUCUGAUAAUUUUACAUUUUCAAUUUUCAUUUGUGUAUGUAUAGUAAUGUGAUAGAAAAUACUUUACUUGCAUAUAUAGCAAAUGACGAAUCUAAUUCAGUUCCAAGUCUUAGAUGUUUCUCGACUCCACCGAGUUUUGGGCUUGUCUAUGAAGGCCCAUAUCAAUUUCGACGCGUAACACAGCCUGGGUCUGGGUCGCUGGUUUGAAGGAGAGAUUUGCACAUGAUAAUUAGAAGACUGGUUGAGAAGUGACCCAUGGAAGCUUUUUAAAAUUUCAAUUCUAAACUUUGAACAACCUCAAAAAAUUUUAUUACUCAUCCUCUUGUCAUUGUAUUUUUAAUUACAUAUUUAUUAACAUACCUUCGCGUAAUCGCGUUACCUAUAAAAAAAAAAAAAAAAUAUUACAUAAGGGAACCCCACGAGAAAAGAUAAACUAUCCUUUUACAUGUAAUUAUUCCAAAAUUCAGGGACUCAGAUGUUAUAUAUACCUCAUUCUAGAAGCCAGUCCCAGCUCCUUUUGCCGAGACCAGACACUUCAUACAUGUAAAGGAGUGAACAGAACACAAAGCAUCUACUUCGUCCACUUGCAAUUGAAUAAAUCUUUAUGUAAAUUUUCGUUACCUCCCCAACAGAAAACGUUUUCGAAAUCUACAGGCAACUGUUAACACACGUCCUGUGUGUUGUAUUUGUUCUUGUCCAAAAUUCUUAUCCCUCUCUUUAUUAGUCUUUCCCAUUAAGUAUGAGUGCGCGUGACUGUUCGUAAAAGAAAGCUAACGCGAGAUUUUUUUCUUAAAUAUAAAAGCUCAAGAUACAAAGAGAGUUACUUUUAUCAUGGCGACAAUCGUUAGCAGCAGCAGCUUCUUCUCGGUGUCUCUACCGGGUCGACUCGGUAACUCGCGACGGUGUUCUGUCAAACCCAAUCCUUCGCCGAUCUUUAUACGCAAGUUUGUUGCCAAAAUUCGGGCUUCUUCAACAGCCUUUAUCGAAACCAAACCAUCGGUAUGCGUGCAUUUCAGUUAUUUAUUAUGACAUGAAAUUAUAGUACAUGACCGUUCUUGUAAUGUAAAUUUUCAAUUGGGUGUGUUUAGGAGCCGAGUUUUGUUGAAAAUGAAGCAAGUACAAGCAAGAACGUAUUAGCUUGUCCCAUCUGUUAUAAACCUCUAACGUGGAUUGGUGAUUCAUCCUUGUCUAUGUGAGUUAUAUCAAAUUUUUUUUUUUUUUUUUAAUUUCUGUUGUUUGGUUGUUUCCUUUUGAGUUGGUUGAGUAUUAUUAUCACAGAGAAUCUGCAGCUGGGUCUAGUUUGCAAUGUAACACUUGUAAAAAGACUUACAGUGGCAUGGGAACUCAUUUUGAUAUGACUGCGGCUAGUGGGUCAAAAGAUUAUGGUGAAUUGAUGACUCCUACCACUGAAUUUUUCAGGUAUUGUGUAUUUCUGUUAUCAUUCACUUUAUGUAACUGCUGUGUCUCUGCUUAAUUUUUGAAAUCAUUGCGUUUGGUAACCCCCCAUUUUUAGUCGGCAAUUAGUAAUUUCAGUCCACUUCAGUGGUGGAUUGAUAAGCACAACACCUUAAUCCCUAACAUACCCAUAUUAAAUACUCUUAAGGCGAGCUUAAUUGGGUGUAAGUGAUGUUUCAAUGGGGAAUUAUACUCUAAUAAUCUACAAAUUUCCGUUGAUUUUUGUCUUCUAAUUCUAUACAUUUUGACGCUCACAUUUGGCAAUAUCAAGCAUUUUAAGAUUGUCCAAUACCAUGGCAUAUGUCUUACAUGACCCUUAUCCCAUCGAUUGAUCAUAUGUUGAAUCAGGAUGCCAUUCAUGUCAUUUAUCUAUGAGAGGGGCUGGCGUCAAAACUUUGUAUGGGGUGGUUUUCCAGGGCCAGAGAAGGAGGUGAUAUGACCUUUUCUCAGUUACAUUUUAUCUUUUAAUAUUUUCUUUUUCAAGGAUCUGAACAUUUUUGUCCUUCCUAUCAGUUGCAAUUUCAGCCCAUAGGGGCGAUGAUAAAUUGUUCUUAUAGAACUUAUGUAGAAUAAAUUGUUGAUUUUCAGGGCCAAUGUUUGCCAUUGCCAUUUCACAUUCUUCAUUUUCGUAGAGGUACUAACCAAUUAAUGGUUUUAACUGCAGUUUGAAUUGAUGAAGGGUUAUCUAAAGCCUGUUUUAGGUGGAAACAUCAUUGAUGCUAGCUGUGGUAGUGGGCUGUUUUCACGAAUUUUUGCUAAGAGUGGAUUGUUUUCUCUUGUUGUUGCUCUGGACUAUUCAGAGAACAUGCUGAAGCAAUGUUAUGAAUUUGUUCAGCAGGAAGCAAACUUUCCAAAAGAGUACGAGUAACUUUGAUUUGUCCUUCAUCCUAUAAUUUGAGAAUUUAAAUAUAUACCUUAUUGUGUAUUUUUCUUCUCUAUUAGGAAUUUUUUGUUGGUCAGAGCUGAUAUCUCUAGACUUCCAUUUGCUGCCAGUUCAAUUGAUGCAGUGCAUGCCGGUGCUGCUAUACACUGUUGGCCUUCGCCAUCAACAGGCGUAGGUGUUUUCUUUCAAGUAAACUUUGAUUAUCCAUGUUGUUGAAGAUUUAGCUGUGAGCUUUUAAGAGUUGGUGGCUAAAUUUUGUAGGUAGCUGAAAUAAGUCGAGUUCUACGACCUGGAGGAGUGUUUGUUGGCACCACCUACAUAUUCGAUGGGCCUUUUAAUCUUAUUCCAUUUUCAAGGCUUCUACGCCAGGUAUGUUUUCUUGACUUGAAAAUGGUUGGCUUCAGCAUACCUGUAUUAGGAUUUGAUGAUCUGAAAAGGAUAUUCAGACAGUUUCAAUUAGUUGUAAAUCUUAAGUUAUUCUAUGGGCACAUCCAACAUUACAUUGUUAAAAUCCCAAGUCUGUGUAACCUUCUAAACUAUGUAAAUUAAGGUUGUCAAGUUUUCUGUACAAGACAUGAAUGUAACUAAUUCUCGUGAAUAUUUAGUUGCUGAUGGUGGACAUCUUGUUUCUUGUACAGAACAUGAUGCAAAUAUCAGGCAGCUAUACUUUCCUAUCUGAAAGGGAAAUAGAAGAUCUCUGCAGAGCCUGCGGCCUGGUUGAUUUUAAAUGUACAAGGAACAGAGGUUUUGUUAUGUUUACUGCUACAAAACCCAGCCAAAAUUGACUGCCUAUCAGCAGUUGCUCUCCACUCUGCUCCGUGCUCUCAAAUUAUUGAGUCUACAAAAAAGCAGUUAUUGGACCAACUGUUUCAGAAGAUAAAUUAUUGUCUUUUGUGUUAAGAGAAUGCUUCGUGAUAUAGGAAUGUAGUGUGAAGGUUAGAGAAUGCUUGGUGAUAUAGGAAUAUAGUGUGAAGGUCUGUAAAGAUGAUACCACACACCAAUCAUUGGGUGCAUGGAAUAAAGGGAAGGCGAGUUCUUGUAACCUUUCCUACUUUUUUUUGUUAAUAUUCUUGAAGAGAUUAUUAAUUCAAAGAAUUGACCUCCAAAUCUUUUCCACUACUUCAAUUUUGAAAUGUUUUAGAUUAUUUUCAGUUACCCAUCAGCUUUGACCCUUUUGUCAAUUAGGGAUGCUCUGUUAUUUUAAAUUGUUAUACCUAGAAGUUGUCGGUUUGAAACUUCAAACCUGAAUUGAAAGUUUUGAAGAGUUAGUCAAGUCGAUUGAUCAUGGAAAAAUCGAUUUAAGGGGAUCCAAAAGAUAAACAAUAAAAAUAGAUAAGAGAAGGAUUUUAUAUUUUUUUUAUGGGUUUGUUACAAAGGGUCAGGAGGGUCCUUUGUGUUUGAUUGUAUCGUUCUGAAUACGUAUCUCAAAGUCUUCUAGUCAGAUUUUACCGCAAUGAUAUUCUCACAGGCAAUGAAUUUUCUCCAUCAUCAAGUUCUGCUAAUCAAUGUGACAAAUUAUGAGUCAACAAGAAGUUAAUUUAAACUUGUCUAAAGGAACUUAGAUUAAAAGCUUUAAUACACAAUAAGCCAUCAAUAUGUGGAUUCAUAAACAAAAUUUACCAAAAUCAUUAUCAUGUUAAUGGCAAACAGCAUUUCAGACGGGUAAUUCAACCACCACCAUCAGUUAUAAACUGUAUCCAAUUGAACGAUUUACAUGUCAGUGAAAUAAACAAUUGGUAUCACCAAGUCCUCAAAAUUCUAAGUUCUCAAAUUUCCUUUCAUGUGUCAAAUUUGUGUAUCAAAUUCAUCCGUCCCCCACCACAACCCCCCAAAGUUUCCCACCCCAAUUCAAGACUUAAACCCCACUUUACUGUACAGUAUAACGAAUUGGCGGUGAAGUUUGUAACAGGGAAAAAAAAAAAAAGGGUACCUAUAAAGACAUUGAUUUCACAAAGCAGUGGGUUCUUGUUUUCUUCUUUCUAAUUGUAAUUUCCUGCUAAAAAUCUGAACAAACCUCCUAUACUCAGUAUAGACCUAAAUGAAAUUUUUCACUUUCAUCACAAUCUAUGGAAUCCCCCAUCAUUAGCGCCAAGAGCUGGAUGCAGAGAUGACUUGGUUGGCAGAGUCAGAUUCGGCUCCUUUGGUUUGAAGUUCAGCUAAAGUAGAAUGGACUACCUGCAGAAAUCCAAUUCAUCCCAUCAUAGCCAUCAAGUUAAAAGCAUCUCACUAUUCACCUAAAUUGGAGAAUGUCAACUGUCGGUAAAGCAAUAUCUUCUCAUCAUUAUCAUCAAGAUCGAGACCAUCUUCAUCGUCAUAAUCCAUUUCAAUAACAGUUCUAUUCUUAACAGAGAGUACUUCGGAUUCAGAGAACUGAACAUGGGAGUAUUCUACACCAGCAGGCAAAUUACUGGACUCUAAUUGUUGCAUCUCUGAUUCAAUAAGUGCUUCCAUCCUAGCUCGCUCCCUGUCUCUUGGAUAGGUGCUAUAUAAGAAUGAAUAUAUGAAACAACAGAGAGCCAUAGGAAUUCCUAUUGCUGUGUAAAGUGCCUUGGCCAAUGACGCAGCAUUCGCCCUAUCUGUGGCAAUCUCUUCAGUUGCACUGGAUCCUUUAGGAAUAGGUUUAAAGCCAUAAACAUGCUGAGCCAGUAUCCCGACUACAGGAGGUGCAAAUGAUGAUAGUAUGGACUCAAAAGAUCGGUCCAUAGCAUAGACACUAGUUCGGGACUUCUCAGGUACUAUCUCUGCAAAAAUUGGACUGCAUAAACACAUUGCAAAUGAUUAGUCAACAACAUGUCUCCAAAAUUUUGCAAAAAUUUGAUUUUAAUGCAAUUAAUAUUUAGCGAAUUUGAUUGUAACAAAAGGAAGAACAAUUUUAUGAGAGUCUAUACUUGUUUGUGGCUGGAGCAUUCCAGGAUAUGAACAAUCCCGUGACGACCAAGACCAAACCAUGCAUCACUGGUGUGGAUGGAUCAUCCGGUAAAACCAGGAGAAGUAAAGCUGCUAGAGGGAUGGCUGAUAAUGAGCUAAUUUGUGCUAGAAUUAUCCUUCCAGAAUUUGGGAAUCGUGCAGAAAGGAAAUCUCCCAUCCUGCCUCCAAACAGUCCUCCAAGGGAACUGGCAAUUACAAACAAUGCCAUCAGGAAUGCAGUUUUCUCGUGGGAGAAUCCAGUAAGCUCUAACCACAUUGCGGCAAAUGACAGAGCUGACCAGGGGAAUGAACCUGUGACACCCUGAGCCACAAUAAUCUGGAAAGAUGGAAUUUUAAUUACAGACUUGGCUUCCUGAAUCAGAACCUUUACGUCUGACCUGAAUGAUUUACUUGAAACCUGAUCACUGUUUGCUGUACCACCAUCUGGAAAGUGUGGAUCAUUUGCAAAGAGGCGGACUAAAGUUCCUACCACGACGCUGAUUAGGCCAACAAUAUGGAAGGAAAUCCGCCAACCAGGAAUUCCCAUGAAUGUCAUUGGAGCCAUCACAACUGAAAAGAGUCCACCAACAAGUGAACCAAUGUUGCUGGUUAGCUGUAGCCAUCCAAAAGCCACACCACGGUUGCUAUCAUCAGUUGAAUCAGCAACAAGAGAUUGGAUUGCAGGUGCAACCAAUGCAAGGCCAAUGCCAUUCAGAGCUCUAGAGAUGGCCACCUGCUCAAAAGAAGUUGAAUAACUUAUGAUGAAUAUGAUUAACUAGGGUGUCGUAGGUAAUAUGGCUUCUCGUAUGUACUAUUUAUAGUUCAUUAAUGUGCUUAGUGGCAAUCAAACCCUAACAUAUGGAAAGAAUGUAUUCAGAGAUUUUGUAUAAUCCUUACAGCAUAUUAUGUUAAUGUUUAGUGACCGGAAGUUGUUAGGUCCACAACAACAGAUAGUAAUAGUAUACACUAUCGCAUUGGUCCAAUCAUACUGAUUCACAAAGGUUUCUUUGCUGAUACUGAUCUUCUAAAUUAUUAACCAGCUCGUCCCAAGCUAUUCAUAUUUCUUUCUGCCUGCGUACUUUUAUAUGCAACAUCACCUCUAGGCCUGAUUCUGAAAUCCAUGCACCUGAGACUUUUCCCUUAGUUCUCUCGGUAUGCUAUUCUUAUAAUGGCCUUUCAGUUCUCAAUGAACCAUUGGGAAUAACAGAAAGGAAGUUCAUUUUUGAGAAACCAAAACCUUAAAAUUAUAUUCUUUGCUUCUUCUUCUCCACUUUAUACUCUAAUCUAGGAUCUAUCCUCCCAUUUGUCUUGUUAUCAUUGACAGUGCCUAAUUUAUGCAGAUUCUCUUCCGAAACUCUUCCAGAGCACAAUAUUCCUCCAAGAAUAUAACACAUUGGGGCUUGAAAUGACUUAUUUAUUUUUUCUCUUUUAGAAAAGCUUCCUUAUAUUCUUAUCCUGUUUUUGGUUUAUAGACCAAGGUGACCAGAUUCUUAUCUUAGAUCAAACAUUUCACAUUCAGAAACUCUAAACAAACUAAAACAUAAUACCAAGAAAGACAUUUUCCUCGUCAUUUGUUCUACUAAAUAGCAAAUAAUAUUACAAUAAAGAUACGCACGAAACUUAACAAAUACCUUUUAUCAAUUCUUACUCCACCUAGUAAUCAAAUCGACAAUCAAGCAAACCAUUCGACCGUCACCACAUAGAACAAUAGAAUCAAACCCUAUUCUAUUAGUACAUUCCAACUUCCAAUUCAAUGGCUUAUAAAAUUAAAAGUAAAAGUAAAAGCACAAGGAAAACCAGGCCUCAAUCGAUUCAAUUCUAGAAAAUUUUCCAAGUCGACUAGGACUUCCUAUUCCAUUUCACAAAGCCAAAACCAUAAUUACAGGUCCCGUAAUUCCUUACUUCUAAUUAAUUUUCCCAUGCAUCAAGCAAGUCAGAAACAGUUCUAUCCAAAAUAAUAGGGAAAAAAAAUUCGAUUUAAACUUCAUAUUUCGAUUUAUUUGGCUGAACCUGAGCGAAAGUGGAGGAGAAGGCAACAAGGAAAGUUGCAGCAGCCCAGAGAAAGGCGCCGAGGGCGAUGACAUGGGCUCGGUUAUGACGGAUCGCCAAGUAAGCCGCAAUUGGGUAGCAAGAAGCCUGCACAAUGGACCUGAACAAAGUCAAAGAACCUAAUCCAGUUGGGUCCGUGUGAAGGGCAGCUCCCACUUCUUUGUAAACUCCAGGCAACAACGAUUCAUCAGCUCUCUCCAUGAUCCCAGCUAAGUUCACAAGAACCAGCGUUACCGUUUCCUGUUUCAUUCUCCUGUUUGCCUUUGGUCUAUUCUUCGUCUUCGUCUUCGUUUUCGUUUUCGUUUGUGUAGGUAGAAGAAGAAGAGGCUUAUUGCUGCCUACAAAGUGGUCUUGUUCGUUUUGCUUCAAAUUUUAAGAGCAAUAAUAGUAUUUAGAUCCAUAAAUUAUUCUAAAUUCCCAAAUUAGGAUAUAACUUUCCAUUUGUAUGAAAUAAGUCCCUAUCUUAGUAUCUUUUCUUAUUUCUAUAGUGGGGUUUAGACUUCAGGCCGUUCAGUUCGCGGUUGCAGGUACUUAUUUGAUAUAAAUUAUGUUGUUAGAUGAGAAAAUGUUCAAAUUUGGGGGAUAUGGAUUACUGUUAGCGGUUUUAUACUUUUACUUUCAAGCAAUGGAUUAUGGAUAACGACUGCAUCUGCAUGGUCAGUCGGUCAAUGACAGGUGGCGGCAUUUAUGGGGGCAAUAUUGGCAAAUAAACGGACGUUUGAGAGUGUGGUACGUGUAACAACGCAAAAAUGGUGGCGGAUUCAGACAAUUCCUUUGAUUGCGGUCAGCAAUUGUAUCGAGUGAAUAUAUAUAUAUAUAUAGAUAGGCUGACGCUAAAUUACAUUAAACGUAAUUUAUAUUUCUCAUAAUAAUAAUAUCCGAUUUCACAAGUGAUACUGUUACGGUAAGAGGGCGUAGGUGGCGUAAGUUACGUUAAGAGAUUGUAUUGUCUUCUUUCUUGGAGAUGCGUAGGAAUUCUGCAAAAUCACGGAUUAUGAAGUGGUGAGUUUUAAAUUGUGAAAGCGACGGAGAGGUCGCAAUCUAGUACACGAUCGCUGAGGGGACGGGGGUGGAUGCAUAUGAUUAUAUGUCCGUACAGUUUACACGAGUGAGAGGGCAGCAUCACCGCCUCCACUCCACAUGGGCUCCGCCACACCACCCACUUUUUAAGUUUUAAUCAUGAUCUUUCCCUCAUCUUCCACAUGGAUUUCCUCAUCCGACCCUACGCGUGGAUCCUUGCUCCUCGAUUCCCGCCUUUGCCGCUCUUGAUGUCCUUCUCACACGUGCAUUCUUCUCCUUUGGGCAUAUGAUCUGGCACUGACGUAGUUUUUACGUCACGCCGUCAGUGACAGCUCCGACACUAGAGUGCCCUUUGCCAUUUUUCCCAGUUUUACCGUUAAUAAUUACCGGGCAACUAAUUCAUGUUAAUUUUUUUUUAACACCUCUAUUACAAUCAAAUUUUAAUUCAUAUUGUACGAGAAUACUACUCAGAUUUACUCCUACAAUACUUUUGUUGGGAUUCAAAUUGUUACCCUCACAACAGACCACUCCGCCAAAAGACCGAGUCAUGUUAAGUUUGUUUGAUUGUUUUAUGUUUUAUUAUAAUUAUUAUGAUAAGGUAAAUGAUACUCAUCCAUCUUAAAGGUGAGGGGAGAGCGAUAAAAAACGAUACCCCUACAGUUGUUUUCGUUGCCCAUAUUUUAUGGGAAAACCAAAAAUAAUAAGUGGGCGACAAAAAUAGCAUCAGGGGAUGCCGCUUAUGUUGCCCUCCUGGUAUUAUAGGCGAGUAAUUGAGUAUCAAUGUUUUUAUGAUAAAUAUUAUAAUUUUAGUAGGAUCUCAAAAAUUAAUAGUCCUGGUACAUUAAAAAAUUUAUUAAUUUAAUGAAUGAUAAUUAAUAAUUUGUUAAUUUAUAAAAAAAUCACAGGCAUAUUAUGAAUUUUUAUAAAGUAUAGAGUCAAUAUAAUUAAAGAAUGUAUUCUGCUGUACGGCCAAGGCGGAUGUACGGUACAGCAGGUUCCAGCGUAUACUGCUUUUAAGUUUUAACAUUCUCCGGUUUUGUGUGAAUUGGGACAGAAGUUGCCAAAACGAGUUAGUAGAAGAAUGCUUUUGUUGCCACUUGGUUUUGUAGUCCAGUGAUAAAUUAUUGCCCUCAAAAUUAAGUAUGAUUAUGAGGGCAAUGGUUUGAGUCCCCAUGGACUCAACUUUUCUCAAUUAAACAUAAUUAUAUAGAGACUUCUUAUAACGUCUUUCUCCCUUGCGAAAUACAAGUGGAAUAGAGAUAUCUCUCCUCCGUGAGGGGUAUUUAGAUGAGCAUGUAUUUUAUAGAAUAAAAAUGUAAUAAUAUAAGUCUCAUGUAUAUAUCGGAUUGUAAAUAUCAGUGUAAUGACCUACUUUCAUAGCAGUUAUAUAUAUCUAUGUGUAAUACAGUAACCUGAUACUUAAUUAGUUCAAAAAAAAAAAAAGAAUGCCUUUGUUAAUGUUUUGUUGAUCGUUGGAAGUUCCAAAAUCCCUUUUCCCUGCAUGCAAAACGCGUUGUGUAAGAUUCAUAUAGUAACAAUUUCGACAUUGGAAAUUCUUUACCACUUCAAAUUUUUUUUUUUUUCCUCUUUUAACAUUGUGUACAGAAUAAAGAACACACUUGGGAUGCUGCUGUAGUUUCUUGGAACUGGGCGUAUGAUUAACCAGAAAAAAAGGAAGUAGCAUUGGCCCAAGCUCAAUUGCUUAGCCUUUGUAUAAAUGUUUAUUAUAUGUCCAUGCCCAUACGAACUGGGUACGUCCUUUAGAUAUGGGUCAAUCAGUGACAAAUUUUGACAACUGGGCCGUCUAAAUUGCCUCGUAUAAUGAUGUGAAAGAAGAUUCUGUUUUUGGGCUCCGCCUACUUCUACUUUUACUCCCUCCCUAGAUACUACGGUGUAGGUUUCUAAACAUGCUCGAGUUUGCGUGACUCUUAGGUUUGUCCUUUCAAUAAUAUUAAAAAAAAAGGGACACCUUAGCUUUUGUCUUGUAGCCCAUUGGCUGGUUCGAGCCCCAACGAGGACUUUUUACUUUCAUUUAAAAAAUAUAUUAUCUUUAAGAUACUAUUGGUGUGGGAAUAAAUUUUCGAGUUGGUCCAUCUCUAUAUUUUUUUAAUAAAUUUUUGCAUUUAGAUUCUCUCGACCGCAACAAAAAUCAUAGUUUAUCAGCAAUUGUAUCGAGUGAAUAUAUAUAUAUAUAUAGAUAGGCUGACGCUAAAUUACAUUAAACGUAAUUUAUAUUUCUCAUAAUAAUAAUAUCCGAUUUCACAAGUGAUACUGUUACGGUAAGAGGGCGUAGGUGGCGUAAGUUACGUUAAGAGAUUGUAUUGUCUUCUUUCUUGGAGAUGCGUAGGAAUUCUGCAAAAUCACGGAUUAUGAAGUGGUGAGUUUUAAAUUGUGAAAGCGACGGAGAGGUCGCAAUCUAGUACACGAUCGCUGAGGGGACGGGGGUGGAUGCAUAUGAUUAUAUGUCCGUACAGUUUACACGAGUGAGAGGGCAGCAUCACCGCCUCCACUCCACAUGGGCUCCGCCACACCACCCACUUUUUAAGUUUUAAUCAUGAUCUUUCCCUCAUCUUCCACAUGGAUUUCCUCAUCCGACCCUACGCGUGGAUCCUUGCUCCUCGAUUCCCGCCUUUGCCGCUCUUGAUGUCCUUCUCACACGUGCAUUCUUCUCCUUUGGGCAUAUGAUCUGGCACUGACGUAGUUUUUACGUCACGCCGUCAGUGACAGCUCCGACACUAGAGUGCCCUUUGCCAUUUUUCCCAGUUUUACCGUUAAUAAUUACCGGGCAACUAAUUCAUGUUAAUUUUUUUUUAACACCUCUAUUACAAUCAAAUUUUAAUUCAUAUUGUACGAGAAUACUACUCAGAUUUACUCCUACAAUACUUUUGUUGGGAUUCAAAUUGUUACCCUCACAACAGACCACUCCGCCAAAAGACCGAGUCAUGUUAAGUUUGUUUGAUUGUUUUAUGUUUUAUUAUAAUUAUUAUGAUAAGGUAAAUGAUACUCAUCCAUCUUAAAGGUGAGGGGAGAGCGAUAAAAAACGAUACCCCUACAGUUGUUUUCGUUGCCCAUAUUUUAUGGGAAAACCAAAAAUAAUAAGUGGGCGACAAAAAUAGCAUCAGGGGAUGCCGCUUAUGUUGCCCUCCUGGUAUUAUAGGCGAGUAAUUGAGUAUCAAUGUUUUUAUGAUAAAUAUUAUAAUUUUAGUAGGAUCUCAAAAAUUAAUAGUCCUGGUACAUUAAAAAAUUUAUUAAUUUAAUGAAUGAUAAUUAAUAAUUUGUUAAUUUAUAAAAAAAUCACAGGCAUAUUAUGAAUUUUUAUAAAGUAUAGAGUCAAUAUAAUUAAAGAAUGUAUUGAUUUCGUCAAACCAUCUUAUACAAUUUUGAUUUAAUACUGCUUGAGUGAAUUAGUCACUUAACAAUCCUUUGACUGGAUCAUAAUUAUAUAGUAACUUAUCAUAUAAAAUUUUUUUGAGGCAUUAUAUUAAGCGAUUAUCUUUCUUAUUUCUCUUAACAUGGUAUAUGGAAUACAAAUUGACAUUUUAUCUUAAAGGUAUAAAGAUGUGUAAAGCAUUAUAUAAAUAUAAUAAAGAAAAUCAUAAAACAUGUCGUAUGUAUUUAUUUCAAAUUAGUUAACUAUUAAUUUAUGUAUUGAUGUGUAAUAUCCAAGCAUGUCUUUUAACAAAGGGUAGUUUAUAUGUAGUUUUAAUUUAAGGAACAUGUGCAUGUUGUUUAUGUCUUUGAAACGGUUCUUAACUUCUCUUUUAUAAUUGUUUUUAACUUCUCUAUUUAAGAAACUUAAGCCACCAGUUGCAAAUUUUUAUUUUCAUCAGUCCUUUAAUGCAUAGGUUUUUCUCAAACAAUUUUAAGAAUUGUUUCCUGCACUCUCAGUUUCAGUAAGUAAAUUCUUCUUUUUAAUUGUUGAUAUUAUGAGCAUGGGAAAUGGAUAUAUGCUUGAUCUUGGAAGUGUUUUGAAAAUAAAAUAUUUCUUUAUAAAAAUUAAAAUCUGAAUUUUGAUUGCUUUAGAAUAAUUCUUUUACUUUAUUAUAAAUUCUACAUGGCCAUUGGAUGAAGUUAUAGCUACUAAAAUUGUUGGAGUUAGAGUUUAAUAGUUUGAGUGUUGUUGGAGACGUGAUGAGCCCUGUAUUGUUUGCUAAUUAGAAUGCCAAAUUGUUGUCUGAAAGAUAAAAUUCUGAAUUGUGGGUAUAGUUAAAUACACGUAUGAAAAA
This 33926-nucleotide long non-coding RNA is filed under the name Citrus sinensis (sweet orange). Its description in RNAcentral is "long non-coding RNA (CSIN_LNC001438)". The record is from RNAcentral. Lineage: Eukaryota; Viridiplantae; Streptophyta; Magnoliopsida; Sapindales; Rutaceae.